Molecule: unclassified non-coding RNA, 203 nt
Filed under: Hevea brasiliensis (rubber tree)
Lineage: Eukaryota; Viridiplantae; Streptophyta; Magnoliopsida; Malpighiales; Euphorbiaceae
Source: RNAcentral
GUUUCUUUCCCUUUGACGGCUUCAAAUCAACAUUCUUAUCUUUGUUUACAGCCAAUUUUACAUCCACUUUUUUUGUUCUUCUGAUUCUUUCCAUUAACUUGAUUUUCCUUGCUUUUCCUCACAAGUUCAACCUCCUCAACAGAAGAGCUAGGGCCCUGUCCAACAUCAUCAGAACUCUGUUCCUUAUCCUCAACACCAUUUUG